ACUUCCUGGGAUCCCGUUUCGCUUCUGGUUCAUGGACUGAGGGCUGCUGUGAUUUUGGUUUUGCAGGACGAUUGCGGCAACUGUAGUUAUCUCCGUGGCUGCAGAUAUUGUGGCUUUGACUUAUUGUUGGCGGCGGCGUGUGUCUCGCAUCUGCAUAUGCGACCACAUUCAGUCAAUAUAAUGCUGUGUAUGGGCGGAUGACGACUGUAUAUGCAGAGUUAUUUUCCUUGCGUAUCCUGAGCUCCACCGGCUGAGUGAUUAAACCGAAACUAUACUUCGCAUUGCAUCUAUGGAGUAUUAUCUUCACUUCUACUGACUCCCGGGUCCCUGUGCCUGUUAUCUGGUAGGUCUAAUUCAUGUGGGUUUUAUUACAUAAAUGUUUUAUGGUGACUGGUUAACAUGACUAGUUUUCCCCUGUGUUGUAGAGUGAUAGGGGCACGUAGUGACGUCACCGCUGUCUUGUUCCUGGUUGAACAUUCAUGAAUUUCGUGUUAAUACGGUUGUGAAUCCGUUGAGUGUGGGAGUGCUUUUGUUUGCAUUUAUAUGGUCCAGUUGUGUUUUGAAUUAAUUUGGUUAAUUCUGUUAUUGUGUGUUUGGCAGGCAUUAAGUGUCAGCUGUGUUGCCUGCCUAAAUCUUGUGUUAAUUAUUUUUGUUGUGUUUGAGUGUGUGUGUGUGUGUGUGUGUGUGUGCUAUUUUGUUUUACAGGAGCUGCAGACCUUUUAUGGAGAGCAGGGCUGAAGUCUUCCUUUAGGUGGUGAUGGUGUUUCCUCACAGAGUGCUGUGAUUUGCCGUGUGCACUGGGGCUUUUGGAUUGGUGUGAGUGUGCAGUGUACUUAGAGUAAAGGCCUGUACGGCCGGUCAUGUAGCCCAGGCUGCAGCUCCUCAUUGUUGUCUUUCCUGGACCUUUUGUGUAAUUGUGGUCCCAGUCUCUUUUCAGUGAAUGUGUUUUAAAUUUCUGUUAUUGAAUUUAAAAUAAAUUGUUCUAUUUUUAUACCAGUAC
Long non-coding RNA from Cyprinus carpio (common carp), 1000 nucleotides. RefSeq lists it as uncharacterized. Lineage: Eukaryota; Metazoa; Chordata; Actinopteri; Cypriniformes; Cyprinidae. The transcript has 2 exons. The record is from RefSeq and is a predicted model, not a curated record.